Molecule: ribosomal RNA, 120 nt
Organism: Cyprinus carpio carpio
Lineage: Eukaryota; Metazoa; Chordata; Actinopteri; Cypriniformes; Cyprinidae
Source: Ensembl
GCUUACGGCCAUACCACCCUGAGCGCGCCCGAUCUCGUCUGAUCUCGGAAGCUAAGCAGGGUCGGGCCUGGUUAGUACUUGGAUGGGAGACCGCCUGGGAAUACCAGGUGCUGGUUAGCU